UACCUGCAGCUCAAGUGGUGACCACUAUUAUUGGGCCUAAAACGUUCGUAGCCGGUUUAUUAAAUGCUUGGGUAAAUCGUGUAGCUUAACUAUACGAAUUCCGGGUAGACUGAUAGACUUGAGACCGGGAGAAGCUAGAGGUACUCCUGGGGUAGAGGUGAAAUUCUGUAAUCCUGGGGGGACCACCAGUGGCGAAGGCGUCUAGCUAGAACGGGUCUGACGGUGAGGAACGAAGCCCUGGGGCGCAAACCGGAUUAGAUACCCCGGGUAGUCCAGGGUGUAAACGCUGCUUGCUUGAUGUUAGUUGGGCUCCGAGCCCAAUUAGUGUCGGAGAGAAGUUGUUAAGCGAGCUGCCUGGGAAGUACGGUCGCAAGGCUGAAACUUAAAGGAAUUGGGCGGGGGAGCACAGCAACGGGUGGAGCGUGCGGUUU
This 431-nucleotide ribosomal RNA is filed under the name uncultured archaeon. Its description in RNAcentral is "bacterial SSU rRNA". It matches the Rfam family "Archaeal small subunit ribosomal RNA", at positions 474 to 903 of the family's 1478-position model. The record is from RNAcentral.